CGCGGUAUUCCUGACCGUGCGAAGGUAGCAUAAUCAUUAGUCUCUUAAUUGGGGGCUCGUAUGAAAGGCUGGACGAGGGAUACACUGUCUCAACUAAAACCCUUGAAAUUAACCUCUAAGUGAAAAGGCUUAGAUACGUUAGAAAGACGAUAAGACCCUAUAAAUCUUAACAUUAACUUAACAGUUUUACCUAAUAUAUAAGUUAAAAACAAACGAUUAAAAAAUGUUGUGUUGGGGAGACAAAGAUAUAAAAACACCAACUGUCUUAAAUAUUAAACAAUGAUUUUUGACUACAAAAGAUCCUUUCUAAAGAUUUAAAGAGCAAGUUACUUUAGGGAUAACAGCGUUAUUUUUCUUGAGAGUCCAUAUCGAGAGAAAAGUUUGCGACCUCGAUGUUGAAUUAAAAUUUCUUUAUGGUGCAGCAGCUAUAAAAGAAAGUCUGUUCGACUUUU
RNAcentral lists this ribosomal RNA (452 nucleotides) under Bathynarius anomalus. Its description in RNAcentral is "partial large subunit ribosomal RNA". It matches the Rfam family "Bacterial large subunit ribosomal RNA", at positions 1932 to 2589 of the family's 2925-position model. Lineage: Eukaryota; Metazoa; Arthropoda; Malacostraca; Decapoda; Diogenidae. The record is from RNAcentral.